UGAGGGCUGGACCGGAAGUUUGGGUUCUGAACAGGAAGUGAGGGCUGGACCGGAAGUGAAUGCGUAUUCUGACCGGAAGUGGGGUCUGAACCGGAAGUUGGUCCCCGCUGACCGGAAGGAGCCUCCAUCACCGCACAGCGCCAUGGAGAGCGGAGAGCAGAGUGAGGGCACGGCCCUGCGCCACGUCCCUGUGUCCCCAUGUCUCCAUGUCCCCACGUGUCCCCUCCCCACAGGACCCUCCCGUGGCGGUGACACGGAGUUGCCCACCCCACAGCCACCGGGUACAUGCGCGUCCCCUCCGCGUCCCCAGGCUGUCCCGUGUCCCUGCACGUCCCCACGUGUCCCCUCCCCCCCCACACACAGGGGCUCCACAGGUGGAGGCGCUGCUGGGACAGAUCCAUGCUCUGCACCGGGGUGAGCGACGUGGCCCCGUGUCCCUGUGACGUCCCCACCAUGUCCCCGUGUCCCCGCCAUCUCCCCAUGAUGCCCCCAUGUCAUCACCCCAUGUCCCCACAGCAUCCCCACACCUCCGUGUCCCCAUGAUGUCCCCAUCUCCCCCCAUGUCCCCAUGUCCUCAUGAUGUCCCCAUGUCCACACCAUGUCCCCAUCCCCCCCAUGUCCCCAUGCCCCCCCCAUGUCCCCAUCUCACCAUAUACCCCCAUGUCCCCAUGAUGUCCCCAUGUCCCCACCACGUCCCCAUGUCCCCACAGUGCCCCCACACCUCCAUGUCCCCAUGGUGUCCCCGUGUCCCCAUCACGUCCCCAUGUCCCUGUGUCCCCAUCAUGUCCCUAUGUCCCCAUGUCCCCCCCAUCUCCCCAUGUCCUCGUGUCCCCAUGUCCCCAUGAUGUCCCCAUGUCCUCACAGUGUCCCCACAUCUCCAUGUCCCCAUGAUGUCCCCAUGUCCCCCCCGUGUCCCCCUGUCCCCCCCAUGUCCCCAUGUCCCCCUGUCCCCGGUGGCGCUGUGGUGGCGGUGCUGUGCUCAGGCUGCCAGGCUGGGGCGCAGGAGCUGGCACGGACACAGGAGAGGAGCGAGGAGAUGAGACAGCACCUGGAACAGCUGGAGGAGCGGCAGGCGGAGCUGCAGGCGCUGUGGCAGCAGCAGCAGGGUGCGUGUCACCCGCGUGUGUCACCCGUGUCACCCCCCCGUGUCACCUCCCCCUGUGUCACCCCACUGUGUCCAGCCCCCCCGUGUCACCCCCCCAUGUCACCUCGUGUCACCCCUCUGUGUCACCCCGUGUCUCCCCGUGUCACCCUAUGUCCCGUUGUGUCACCCUGUGUCACCCUCUGUGUCACCCGUUGCGUCACCCUGUCACCCCCCAUGUCAUGUUGUGUCACCCCUCUGCGCCACCCUGUCAUGUUGUGUCACCCUGUGUCACGUUAUGUCACCCACUGUGUCACCCCAUGUCACCCCGUGUCACCCUGCGUCGCCCCCAUGUCACCUUGUGUCACUCCUCUGUGUCACCCUAUUUCACAUUGUGUCACCCCGUGCCAUCCCCCCGUGUCACCCUGCGUCACCCCCAUGUCACCCUGGGUCACCCCUCUGUGUCACCCUAUGUCACAUUGUGUCACCGCCAUGUCAUCCUUCGUCACCUUGUGUCACCCUAUGUCACCCCGUGUCACAUUGUGUCACCCCCUCGUGUCACCUCGUGUCACCCCUCUCUGUUCACCCCGUGUCACCCUGCGUCACCCCCAUGUCACCCUGUGUCAUGCUAUGUCACCCCGUGUCACCCCUUGUCACCCUGUGUCACGUUGUGUCUCCCUGUGUCACCCCCCAUGUCACCCUGUCACCCCUCUAUGUCACCCUAUGUCACGUUGUAUCACCCCCAUGUCACCGUGUCACCCCCCAUGUCACCUUGUGUCACCUCACUGUGACACCCUGUGUCACCCUGUCACCCCUCUGUGUCACCCUAUGUCACAUUGUGUCACCCGUGUCACCCUAUGUCACGUUGUGUCACCCUGUGUCACCCUAUGUCACGUUGUGUCACCCUGUGUCACCCGUCUGUGUCACCCUUUGUCAGGUUGUGUCACCCUCAUGUCAUCCUUUGUCACCUUGUGUCACCCUGUGUCACCCCCCACGUCACCUCGUGUCACCCCUGUGUCACCCUGUGUCACAUUGUGUCACCCCAUGUCACUCCCCCGUGUCACCUCGUGUCACCCCUCUGUGUUCACUCAGUGUCACCCUAUGUCACGUUGUGUCACCCUGUGUCAUGUUGUGUCACCCCCUGUGUCACCCCAUGUCACCUUGUGUCACCCCUCUGUAUCACGUUGUGUCACCCCCUGUGUCACCAAGUCACAUUAUGUCACUCUGUGUCACCCCUCUGUGUCACGUUGUGUCACCCCGUGUCACCCCGUGUCACAUUAUGUCACUCUGUGCCACCCCUCUGUGUCACGUUGUGUCACCCCAUGUCACCCUGUGUCAGGUUGUAUCACCCUGUCACCCCCCCGUGUCACCUCGUGUCACCCCUCUGCGUUCACCCCGUGUCACCCUCCAUCACCCCCAUGUCAUCCUUUGUCAUCGUGUCACCCUUUGUCAUGUUGUGUCACCCUGUGUCACCCCCCGCGUCACCUUUUGUCACCGUGUCGCUCCUCUGUCACCCCACUGUGUUCACCCCGUGUCACCCUGUGUCACCCCCUUGUGUCACCCCCUCGUUUCACCCUUUGUUGCCCCAUGUCACUCCCGUAUCACCCUUUGUCACCUUGUGUCACCCCAUGUCACCCUCCUGUGUCACCGUGUCACCUUUUGUCACCCUGUGUCACUCCCUCUUGUCACCCUUUGUCACCUUGUGUCACCCCUUGUCACCUCCUGUGUCACCCGUGUCACCUUUUGACACCCUGUGUCAUCUCCCCUUGUCACCCUUUGUCACCUUCUGUCACCCCAUGUCACCCCACUGCUCACCCCCCAUGUCACCCCUCUGUGCCACCCCCCCGUCACCCCUUGUCACCUUGUGUCACUCUGUGUCACUCCCCUGUGUCACCGUCUUACUAUUUGUCACCCUUUGUCACCCCGUGCCACCCCUGUUUCACCCUUUGUCACCCUGUGUCACUCCCCCAUGUCCCCCCAUGUCACCUUGGUGUCACCCCACAGAGGUGCUGCGCGUGGCACGGUCACGCUGGCAGGAGGUGGAGGCUGAAGGACAAAGGUCAGUGGGGGGGGCAGCGACCUCUGACCUCUGUCCCCAACCUCUGA
This 3187-nucleotide long non-coding RNA is filed under the name Numida meleagris (helmeted guineafowl). RNAcentral's name for it is "lncRNA (ENSNMEG00000001984.1)". The record is from RNAcentral. Lineage: Eukaryota; Metazoa; Chordata; Aves; Galliformes; Numididae.